RNAcentral lists this ribosomal RNA (420 nucleotides) under uncultured archaeon. RNAcentral's name for it is "bacterial SSU rRNA". It matches the Rfam family "Archaeal small subunit ribosomal RNA", at positions 459 to 879 of the family's 1478-position model. The record is from RNAcentral.
CAGCCGCCGCGGUAAUACCUGCAGCUCAAGUGGUGAUCAUUAUUAUUGGGCCUAAAACGUCCGUAGCCGGUUUAGUAAAUGCCUGGGUAAAUCGUGUAGCUUAACUAUACGACUUCCGGGUAGACUGCUAAACUUGAGACCGGGAGAGGCUAGAGGUACUCCUGGGGUAGAGGUGAAAUUCUGUAAUCCUAGGGGGACCACCAGUGGCGAAGGCGUCUAGCUAGAACGGGUCUGACGGUGAGGGACGAAGCCCUGGGGCRCAAACCGGAUUAGAUACCCGGGUAGUCCAGGGUGUAAACGCUGCUUGCUUGAUGUUAGUUGGGCUCCGAGCCCAACUAGUGUCGGAGAGAAGUUGUUAAGCAAGCUGCCUGGGAAGUACGGUCGCAAGRCUGAAACUUAAAGGAAUUGGCGGGGGAGCAC